AGUUAAACAGUACAAUUGUACCGGUCUUGAAAACCGGCGUGCGGGAAACCGUACCGUGGGUUCGAAUCCCACCUCUUCCGCCA
This 83-nucleotide transfer RNA is filed under the name Rhizobium laguerreae. RNAcentral's name for it is "tRNA-OTHER". It matches the Rfam family "tRNA". Rfam says of the family: Transfer RNA (tRNA) molecules are approximately 80 nucleotides in length. Their secondary structure includes four short double-helical elements and three loops (D, anti-codon, and T loops). Lineage: Bacteria; Pseudomonadati; Pseudomonadota; Alphaproteobacteria; Hyphomicrobiales; Rhizobiaceae. The record is from RNAcentral.